GCGAGUUUUAAUCACACCCGUCACAACCCCGCCCACUUGCAAAUUUAUUUAUUUAUUUUUAAACUAGACUAUUCAUCUAUCCUAGACAUUUUUGCCCAAAUAAACCAAACCCUAAUCUCUCAAAACAUCUAUACAGCUCUCUUCCCAUCUCACUCUCUCUCGUUUUUCAUCUGCGCAACUCUCUUCUCAUUGCAUCGAUCGACCUUUGCAAGAUUGACUCUCUCUCUCCGUCAACUCUCAACCUCUCUUCUAAACUCACUCUCUCUCGUUCUUUCCUCUCUCUCUCUCUCUCUCUGUGGCGACUAACGAAGCGACCGAUAGACCUUCGAUCGACUCUCUCUCUCUGUGGCAACUCUCAGGGAGUUAAAAUUGCAGAUCAACAUGUAUGCAUAUCAUGAUGGAGGACAUAUAUUGAUGAUCCUUGGAAUAACCCGUCAUGGAAGCUUGGAGAUGAAAAUAGCUCAACGGUAUAAACCUUCUCUUUCCCCUAUUGGUAGGUAAAGUCAUGAGUUGUCAUGAAUUGUUUAGUCUUGCUUAAAAGAGUUCCAUUAAAGAGGUAAAGCAAAUAUCUUUUGGCCAUCUUUUACAACAUAGUGAACAAACAUUCAAUAUUUGGGAAUCACCGGAUAUUAUGAAGUUUGGAAAUUAUUCCGCAAAUAGUAGCUUGUAGAAGUAGCUAGCAUAACUCUUAUAUCACUAAGUAAAAAGAGGUUAUUUUUUAAUUAUUGAGCUAUGUUACAUGGGCCAUACGAGUAUUGCGUACAACCAGUGUUGCAGCUGAUUUGGGUAGUCAUGGUGUUAAAAAGUGAAUGUUUUUGGUCAAGAAAACCCAUUUUCUGAGUGUGAUAUACGCUCAUGCUUAAACACUCUUCAGUUUCUCCACAAGAAGAAGGAAACCCUCAAUAUGGUUGGUGCUAAACAUGUUUAUGCAGUGGAAACAUCUGAAAUGCUAGCAUAUGCCUGCAAACUCACUGUAGUCACAACCAUAGAUCACCUUUCGACGAAGCUUUGGUUUGAAUCAAUUCUUCCUCAUCUGCUACAGAUUAGAUUGAGUGUAGAAGUUCCACCAGCUAUGUGUGAGGAUUGUUACAAAAGGGUCAUGAAUGAGUUCAUGAAGCAAUCAAAGGUAAUGUUGAGGGAGUAGUUGAUAUGAUUGAGCGGGUGAUAUUGAGAGCUAAACUGAGAUUUAUUUUUUUAUUUUUGUGAGUACUCAAAUACAUUAGUAUUUUGUAUAAAUACUUGUAAGGAUGGUUGAUGCAUAUUUGUUUUGCAUGUAUAGAAGCUAAAAUUUGUAGCACACUUUUUUUUUUUUUUUGAAGAUAAUUUUGUUGAGGGAAGUGAUGGAUAAUAAUACAUGAGUAUUGCAAA
Non-coding RNA from Camellia sinensis, 1368 nucleotides. Lineage: Eukaryota; Viridiplantae; Streptophyta; Magnoliopsida; Ericales; Theaceae. The record is from RefSeq and is a predicted model, not a curated record.